CGGGGUGUAGCGCAGUUGGCUAGCGUACCAGCAUGGGGUGCUGGUGGUCGUGGGUUCGAGUCCCGCCACCCCGA
RNAcentral lists this transfer RNA (74 nucleotides) under Bacteroidota bacterium. RNAcentral's name for it is "Bacteroidetes bacterium (mine drainage metagenome) tRNA-Pro". It matches the Rfam family "tRNA". From Rfam's summary of the family: Transfer RNA (tRNA) molecules are approximately 80 nucleotides in length. RNAcentral also lists the same sequence under 1 other name. The record is from RNAcentral. Lineage: Bacteria; Pseudomonadati; Bacteroidota.